GAUGAAGAACGUAGCGAAAUGCGAUAAGUAAUGUGAAUUGCAGAAUUCAGUGAAUCAUCGAAUCUUUGAACGCACCUUGCGCCCUUUGGCCAUUCCGAAGGGCAUGCCUGUUUGAGUAUCAUGAACACCUCAACUCUUCAUGGUUUUCCAUGAUGAGCUUGGACUUUGGGGGUCUUGCUGGCCUGUGGGUCGGCUCCUCUCAAAUGAAUCAGCUUGCCGGUUUUUGGUGGGCAUCACAGGUGUGAUAACUAUCUACGCUUGUGGUUUUCCACCAGGGUAACCUUCAGCAGUGGAGGUUCACUGGAGCUUACAAAUGUCUCUCCUCUGUGAGGACAGCCCUUUGAAUGUUUGAUCUCAAAUCAGGUAGGACUACCCGCUGAACUUAAGCAUAUCAAUAAGCGGAGA
RNAcentral lists this unclassified non-coding RNA (405 nucleotides) under soil metagenome. Its description in RNAcentral is "partial contains 5.8S ribosomal RNA, internal transcribed spacer 2, and large subunit ribosomal RNA". The stretch from base 1 to 121 matches the Rfam family "5.8S ribosomal RNA", at positions 35 to 154 of the family's 154-position model. The record is from RNAcentral.